GAUGAACGCUAGCGGGAGGCCUAACACAUGCAAGCCGAGCGGUAUUUGUUUUUUGGCACAGUGCGAGCGGCGCACGCGUGCGGAUCACGUGUGCAACCUGCCUUUAUCUGGGGGAUAGACUUUCGAAAGGAAGAGUAAUAUACCAUAGUAUAUUGAGUGGCAUCAUUUGGUAUUGAAAACUCUGUUGGUUAGAGAUGGGCUCGCGCACGAUUAGAUAGUUGGUGAGGUAACGGCUCACCAAGUCAAUGAUCUUUAGGGGGCCUGAGAGGGUGAACCCCCACGCUGGUACUGAGACACGGGCCAGACGCCUACGGGAGGCAGCAGUGAGGAAUAUGGGACGAUGGGUUAUCGCCUGAUCCAGCCAGCCCGCGUGAAGGACGCCGGCCCGAUGGGUUGUAAACUUCUUUUGUAUAGGGAUAAACCUACGCACGUGAGAGUAGCUGAAGGUACUAUACGAAUAAGCACCGGCUAACUCCGUG
This 479-nucleotide ribosomal RNA is filed under the name uncultured bacterium. RNAcentral describes it as "partial 16S ribosomal RNA". It matches the Rfam family "Bacterial small subunit ribosomal RNA", at positions 28 to 507 of the family's 1533-position model. The record is from RNAcentral.